RNA transcript from Cannabis sativa, 3159 nucleotides. It is a transcript of the gene named lipid phosphate phosphatase gamma, with no coding region annotated. Lineage: Eukaryota; Viridiplantae; Streptophyta; Magnoliopsida; Rosales; Cannabaceae. The transcript has 2 exons. The record is from RefSeq and is a predicted model, not a curated record.
AACGUUGUAUUUGGGUCCAAACAUUCUUGUCCUUUUCUGCCCAAGACCAAUUUUUCUCUUCUUAGUUUUUGCCUUUACCACUUUCCUGUUAACAUUUUCUCGAGAAACAAACACCACAUAAAAAAUUUUCCUUUUUAUCUGGAGGUGUUAAUACAUACGAACAUUUCUCUAAUAUAUAUAAUAUAUGUAAUAUAUAACAAUUCCAAAACUUUCCUUCCUCAACACAUAUUCCUUCUCAUCUCACCAUAUUAGAAUUAGAUCCCUUUCUCCUUCUUCGAGGCAAUUUAUUGACCCAGAUCCAUUUUUAGUUCAAACCCAGAAUUCUCUCUCCAGUUUUCCAUGACUGCGCCUUCACUAAAAGCAGUUACCCUAACCCACGUCCGGUACCAGAGAGGUGAUCAGCUGGGUCACUUUCUGGCAUGGAUUUCACUAGUACCAGUCUUCAUAAGCCUCGGCGGAUUCGUCUCUCAUUAUAUCUUCCGCCGUGAGCUUCAAGGUAUGUUCUUCGCUCUGGGCCUCUUGAUUUCCCAAUUCAUAAACGAGCUCAUCAAGAAAUCGGUCCAGCAAGAUCGGCCCGAGACCUGUGUUAUACUCGAAAUGUGCGACUCCCACGGCUGGCCUUCGAGCCAUUCCCAAUACAUGUUCUUCUUUGCAAUGUAUUUCACUCUCUUAACCUAUAAAGCAACCGGGGUUUGGGAGACUAAGAAGAGGGUGUUUGUGAAUUUUCUCAACUGGUCAAUGGCACUUCUUACUAUGUAUUCCAGGGUCUAUUUGGGGUACCAUACAGUGGCUCAGGUCUUUGCUGGUGCUGCUCUUGGGAUCAUAAUUGGGGCUAGUUGGUAUUGGAUUGUCAAUUAUGUGCUUUACGUAUAUUUCCCAGCCAUUGAAGAGAGCUCAUUGGGGCGUUUCUUUUAUAUCAAGGACACUUCUCAUAUACCCAAUGUUUUGAAGUUUGAGUAUGACAAUGCCAGAGCUGCAAGGGCGGCUUCUAAAGACGAUUGAAUUGAUCAAAAGCGCAUCUGGGUAAGUGGGAUUUCUUUUGAUUCUUAUUUCUGAAUUGAUGUGUUUGAAGACCAUACCUUUGUUAUACUAACUAAUUACAUUUUCACCUGGAAUUUCGCUCUUUAACAUGUUUAACUGAUAUAUACAAGAAUAGAGGAGUUUUAAAAUUUAGUACUUGUUUAGUUGUUUUAUAAUUCCCAUACCAAUAUUUGUCUAAAACUUUGAGGUCUGCCUUAUGGCUGGUGUACCUUGGUGAAUCAUUAAAAAAUGUGACCCAACAUUUUAGAUUUGUGGUAUGAUCUUCUUUCUACAUGCAUUGUGCUAAUGAGAUUAGUAAAAUGACGGGAUUAGCUUUGCUUGCCUAACCUAAAUAGGGAAUAGCUAACCAAGCUACUUUAGCUAGUCUAGUGGUGAGGUUUGAGGGUUGGGGUGGGAUAAGUUAGGAUCUUUGAGUUUUUUUUUUUUUUUUUUUUUUAUUGAAGCGUGUUUUAUAUACAUUAGUUGCACAACUUGAACUUGAGAUUCGAUCGCAGAACUCCCCACACACACCCACCUUAACUAGCCUCAAAGUGGUUUAGGAUCCUGAGUUUAAAAUAUAUUAUUUUUGCAUUUUUAUUUAGUACUAUGGGUGUUUCCGUACCUGUCUAAUUUUUCUAAUAAAGAAAUGGUUACUAGUCUUUUAAAAAGAUGAGAGGGGAUAGGUAAAAAAAAGAGCAUUACUAUUAGGCACCACUGAUGCCUUAUAGCAAUGCUCAAAAAAAAUAUAUGUUAAGCAACUUGGCCAAGUGUCAAAUAUUUACAUGUAUUAAUUAACUAUUUUUUGACACAAUUGGUUCCAUUUAGCUAAGUUUUUACUUUUACUUGUAGCUAAAAGUAUAAAAUAAGCAUACAUUUUGACUUAUUUUUACCGUUAGAUAACUAUUAUAUGAAAAUCUUUUUUUUUGAGUGAAAAAUUAUUUUUCAAAGUGUUUGGAUAUCAUCAAAAAAAAAAAUUUGGAAGUAAAUUAAGAAUCAUGUAAAUUAUUUUAAUUUUAAAAAUAGCUUCGUAAAAGUCUUUUUAUGAGAAGCUACAAAUCUUAGCUACUUCCAAAAGUACCAUUUGAUGAGUAAAUUAGAUGAGAUCAUGUGUAGUUUUUUAUUUUUUGGAUAAAGAUGUGAAGUUUUGUUUUCAAAACUAUUCUAAAAGAAAAGUUUUGAAUUUUAGAUAAAGGUAAUGUAAAUGAACCAGUUAAGCUAUUAGAAGAAUAGUGAAUCUGAUAUAGCAUAAUAUGUAUUGUUGGUCACCAAUAGAUAUGGAGCUGUCAGCUCCUCCUCCUCCUCCAUCUUCUAUGCACCCUUUUACGGCUGUUUGGUAUAGUAAUAUCAAAAAAAUAUUGGUUUUUCAUUAUAAAAUUAGGCCUUUUUUUCAAGCCCAGAAAAAUAGUAUUUACUUUACUCUUCAAGAGGGUAAUAUUAAAUCCAUCUAAAUGUGUGGGGCUCAGAUGUUCUUGCUUUAUAAAUAUGCAGAAAUCACGUACACAUAUGAGCAUUUUCCUGUGUAACCAAAUAUGGUUAUGGGAUAUAGCUAUCAGUCUAAUAGAUUCUCAUACAAAAUUAAAACCUGUUUUACAUGAUUUCGGUCUUUUAUAUUUAUGUUGUUGUCUGUAAUUAAUUUUCUCAAUAAUCAGAAAAUUUCUCUUCUUGAUUCCCUUUUCAAUAUUUUCAGUCAUUCCAAAUUUGGUAGUCAGCAAUAGUCACUAUUCUUCAUUGCUCUUUUGUAUUCCAGGUGAAUUGCUUCAUAUAUGCUGGUACUGGUCCUGCUUUUAUUGGAGGCUGUUAUGGUCUGUCAUUGUACGGUGAUAGGGAAUGUUAUGAGCUUGGACUGAGAAGAAACUUCUAUUUUUUCCCCCACUUCUUUUGUUCUUCUUUCUUUACUUUACACAAGAACACAAGUCAUGUUCUUACACAUAAGAAGAUAAAAAUAAAAGAGGAGACUUGUUAGCUCACUUAUAUAAUUGAAUACAAACUAAACUAGUGAAGAUGGUCACAUAUUUUGAAGGAAUUAACUGCACUUUAGCUUGGUGUGUUCAAAUUUACACUUUGUAUAUCAGUUUAUCAUCAAUUAACUACAUUACAAAUAAGAACAUUGCUAAGUAUCACUUAGAGUUUAUUGCUUUA